This 72-nucleotide transfer RNA is filed under the name Camelus bactrianus (Bactrian camel). It matches the Rfam family "tRNA". Rfam says of the family: Transfer RNA (tRNA) molecules are approximately 80 nucleotides in length. Their secondary structure includes four short double-helical elements and three loops (D, anti-codon, and T loops). The record is from Rfam by way of RNAcentral. Lineage: Eukaryota; Metazoa; Chordata; Mammalia; Artiodactyla; Camelidae. RNAcentral also lists the same sequence under 2 other names.
GAGGGUAGAGUUCAGUGGUAGAGUGUGUGCUUAGCAUGCAGGAGGGCCUGGGUUCAAUCCCCAGUACCUCCA